Molecule: non-coding RNA, 624 nt
Organism: Zootermopsis nevadensis
Lineage: Eukaryota; Metazoa; Arthropoda; Insecta; Blattodea; Termopsidae
Source: RefSeq, a predicted model, not a curated record
UCAGACAGGUAAAUCAAUAAAAUUUCUCCGCAGCGAUUGGCUGACAUCAGGGCACACAAACUCACGAACUCUAACGGAGAAAAAACUAAACUGAAAAUUACGUGUUUCGAUUUGAUUGGAUAGACCUGAAUAUCAGCUUUCAAAUACGUGACAUCGACGUCAGCCUCGGAAGUGAAAGUCAGUCGUUAUUGAAUUUUGUCGAGAGUCAGUGCAGUCUCCGUGACUCAAUGUUAGCCUAGGAACUUAGCUAAGAGUAAUUAACCUUCUUAAUUUCAAGCUUUCAGUGAAGACGAGAGGACGGUUCCCUUCCAGUGACGUGUGCAAGAUGGAGACAAGUACAACAUUUCACCUUAGGUCUGAUGUAUGUGUACGUGUGAAUUGCAGAGAUGUGACAUUAAACUCCGUGAAUUACCUUUCGAUAAUACACGUCUGCACAAAAGAGGCGUGUGUUUCCUAUUGUGACAGCCAAGUAAACUCCAGAUGUACCUGGUUCACAGAGGAUGGACGGGUCUAAAUGUGACGUUUGUGUGCAUAUGUAUACAUAUUUAUAUAUAUUUCUGACAAGACGGAUCUUUGUAAUAUCCCGAUACAUUUUACAAUAAAAUUUUGACAUAUGUACUAAUA